UACGAAGGGGGCUAGCGUUGCUCGGAAUCACUGGGCGUAAAGGGUGCGUAGGCGGGUCUUUAAGUCAGGGGUGAAAUCCUGGAGCUCAACUCCAGAACUGCCUUUGAUACUGAAGAUCUUGAGUUCGGGAGAGGUGAGUGGAACUGCGAGUGUAGAGGUGAAAUUCGUAGAUAUUCGCAAGAACACCAGUGGCGAAGGCGGCUCUCUGGCCCGAUACUGACGCUGAGGCACGAAAGCGUGGGGAGCAAACAGG
RNAcentral lists this ribosomal RNA (253 nucleotides) under uncultured bacterium. RNAcentral describes it as "partial 16S ribosomal RNA". It matches the Rfam family "Bacterial small subunit ribosomal RNA", at positions 524 to 776 of the family's 1533-position model. The record is from RNAcentral.